UACAGAGGGUGCAAGCGUUAAUCGGAAUUACUGGGCGUAAAGCGUGCGUAGACGGUUAUGUAAGUCGGAUGUGAAAGCCCCGGGCUCAACCCGGGAAGUGCACUCGAAACUGGGAGGCUAGAGUACUGGAGAGGUUGGUGGAAUUCUCGGUGUAGAGGUGAAAUUCGUAGAUAUCGAGAGGAACACCGGUGGCGAAGGCGGCCAACUGGACAGAUACUGACGCUGAGACACGAAAGCGUGGGGAGCAAACAGG
RNAcentral lists this ribosomal RNA (253 nucleotides) under uncultured bacterium. RNAcentral describes it as "partial 16S ribosomal RNA". It matches the Rfam family "Bacterial small subunit ribosomal RNA", at positions 524 to 776 of the family's 1533-position model. The record is from RNAcentral.